This 119-nucleotide ribosomal RNA is filed under the name Triticum aestivum (bread wheat). RNAcentral also lists the same sequence under 2 other names. The record is from RNAcentral. Lineage: Eukaryota; Viridiplantae; Streptophyta; Magnoliopsida; Poales; Poaceae.
GGAUGCGAUCAUACCAGCACUAAAGCACCGGAUCCCAUCAGAACUCCGAAGUUAAGCGUGAUUGGGCGAGAGUAGUACUAGGAUGGGUGACCUCCUGGGAAGUCCUCGUGUUGCAUUCC